UACGUAGGGCGCAAGCGUUAUCCGGAAUUAUUGGGCGUAAAGAGCUCGUAGGCGGUUUGUCGCGUCUGCCGUGAAAGUUCGGGGCUCAACCCCGGGCCUGCAGCCGAUACGAGCAGACUAGAGUUCGGCAGGGGAGACUGGAAUUCCUGGUGUAGCGGUGAAAUGCGCAGAUAUCAGGAGGAACACCGGUGGGCGAAGGCGGAUCUCUGGGCCAUUACUGACGC
RNAcentral lists this ribosomal RNA (224 nucleotides) under uncultured bacterium. Its description in RNAcentral is "partial 16S ribosomal RNA". It matches the Rfam family "Bacterial small subunit ribosomal RNA", at positions 524 to 746 of the family's 1533-position model. The record is from RNAcentral.